RNAcentral lists this long non-coding RNA (20206 nucleotides) under Vigna radiata. RNAcentral describes it as "long non-coding RNA (VRAD_LNC009509)". Lineage: Eukaryota; Viridiplantae; Streptophyta; Magnoliopsida; Fabales; Fabaceae. The record is from RNAcentral.
UCAAAAUCAGAAAAAUUUCACUCUUCCAGGCUUAAGGAAAAAUAAAAAUAAUAAAUUUAGGAAAAAAGAACUAUUUGUUAUCGAACCGGUUCGCCUGUCUAGAAAAAAUAAUAAAAAUUUUUUUAAGUAUAAAACGAUGGGUCUUUCAUUAAUUCAUAAGAAUAAACAUAAAAUUGAUAAAAAAUACUCAGAAAAAAUGAAUGUUAAUAAUAAAUAUUUUGAUAAAUACAUUACAAGAACAAAAGAUCAAAAGAUAACAGAAAACAAAGAAAAAGAGAAUUUUAAUUUACUUGUUCCUGAAANNNNNNNNNNNNNNNNNNNNNNNNNNNNNNNNNNNNNNNNNNNNNNNNNNNNNNNNNNNNNNNNNNNNNNNNNNNNNNNNNNNNNNNNNNNNNNNNNNNNNNNNNNNNNNNNNNNNNNNNAUCGUUAUUGGUUUAAUACCCAUAAUGGAAGCCGUUUCAGUAUAGUAAGGAUACAUAUGUAUCCGCGUGUGAAAAUUCGUUAAUCUAAUUUUGUCUUCUAUUAAUGAUAAUAAGUUUUUGUGAUUAUCUAUUAGUUUAUAAAAUCUAUUUUAAUUGUAAAUGGAUGCAGGGAAGAGCUAGUAGGACCAACAAAGGCACUAAUUAUGCAUGAAAUAUCAAUAAUAGGGUUAGAGAGUUCCACCACCUUCCACAUAUGCAGUUCUUGAAUUUUUUUUCUAUACACAUUUAAUACUUCAAUGUAAUCAUUUUCAUUUUUCAGCAUUACUAGUAAGAAAAAAUAAUUGUUUCAUAACUUAUUACCUUCCAUUGUCACUAUUUCUUUUCCUGAAAAAGAAGUUGACUAAGUGCAAUCAUUUGUAUGCAGCUUGAUAAUGCAAUGAGAGCAAGAAGUCUUAUCUUUGAUGGUGCAGAGACCAAAUGUUACUUUCGCAUAUGUGGUGCAGUCCCUAGAGUUCAAUUUGAAGAUAGUGUGUUGGAAACUUUAUUAAAGUCGAUUAAUCUUGGUGUUGGUUGAGUUUGAAAACCCUUUUAUCAUUGUAAAUGAUUUUGACAUAGUGUCAACUUAGAUUAUUAAAUUUAUUUAUUAUGAAUAUAUAUUAAAAUUGUGGUUAUUGAAUAGGUAACAUUGUAAGAGAUUUAUUAAUGUAAUUGUUUAAGAGUUUGUUAAAGAAUAAGAGUUGUAUUUGUUUUUUUGAAUUCUAUUUAUAAAAAAUAAUCCAUCUGUUUGACUUUUACCAACUAUAUAAAACUCCUAACUAUUGAGUGUAGAUGUAGAAUCACAUAUUUUAUUUUUUUUACAAAAUCAUAAUUACAUACAGAUUUUAUUUACGGACUUUUUUUGUAUGUAAUUAUAUAUGAAUUUUACAUACGGUUUUUUUCGUAUAUAAUUACAUACAGAAAAAUCUGUAUGUAACGUAUCUACGCCCCUUUUAUAUACGGAUUUUUGUCCGUAUAUAAUCCGUAUAUAACAUUAUUUUAUAUACGAAUUUUAGAGGUUACAUACGGAUUUUGGUUGUAUGUAACUACGAUUUUUCUUGUAGUGGUUAGUCUUCAUGUUUUGUUGAUCAUUUUAGUCCUCGUCUUGCUAAGUUAUCUCUUUGAUCAUACAAAUAUGCUUUUUUAGAAUUUCCUAUAUCACAAAAUGGAUGCAGGUGUUUAUGCAAAUGUCACAUUCAACGAGUCGUUUUUUUACUUUAAAUGUCUUUUUUCUUCUUAUAUGUAUAUGUCUAAUACAAUCAAUAUUCAUAAUACAAUUUUUAUUUUGUGCUUCUAAAGUUGUGCCUAAGCUUCAACAAUCAUCAGGUGACUCAAUUUAAGUGUCAACUACCAUGUCUCCUUCGACUCUAGCAACAAAGUCAAACCUCCCAAUUUUUCUUCGUAAAGGUCUACAUUCUACUCGUAAUCCAUCUACCUUUUUAUACCCGUCUUUCAUUUACUUUUUAUAUUUUACCAUUCCAAAACCUAUCAGUGAUGCCUUAGCAUCUUGGUUGGCGUUAUACCAUGCUAGGUGAAUUAAAUGCUUUACAAAAUAGUAAAACAUGAGAGCUCAUCCCAUUACUGUUUGGAGAAAUUUUUGCUAGUUGUAGGUGGAUUUUUUCUAUCAAAGUUGGUCUUGAUUGUACUAUUGAUCGCCUCAAAGCUCAUCUUGUAGUCAAAGGUUACAAACAAAUUUUUGGGUUGGACUAUUGUGAUACUUUUUCUCCAGUGGCAAAGAUGACUUCUAUUAGUUUAUUUAUAUCCAUGGUUGUUCUUCAACAAUAGUCUUUUUAUCAAUUGGAUGACAAAAAUGUGCUCCUUAAUGGAGAUUUGUAGAAAAAGAUUCAUAUGGAGCAACCUCUAAGAUUUCUUGCUUAAGGGAAGUCUUUUUGAUUUGUAUGACAUCUUCACAAAUCUAUAUAUAGCCUAAAACAGACUCAUAUGGUUUGGUUUGGAAAAUUUAACAACAAUUUGGUAUGACAUAGUGUGAGGCAGACCGUUGAUAAUGACCUAUUUUACCAUGAUUUCAGUAUUGAAUUUAGAGAAAAUAUCAACUCUUUCUUAGCUUUUUGCCUUGUAAAUCCUAGUUUUCCUCUUAGUUUAAUAAGUGGUUUCAUCUUAAACUUUAAUUAUAUAAAUUGAUCAUUAACCCCUUCAUUUACACGCUUAAAUUAGUUGGAAGAAGUCUUUGCAUCAAAUGAAGGUGCUGGAACCAAAGUAAAGCAGAAAGAAUAGCAAAAAUGCUAAACUAGAAUUUUGCGAAGUCAGGCUCGAGCUCCCCUAGCUUAAGGGGGCUUGAGCGCCAGUGCACCACGACUAUCGUGCGCUCGAGCGCCCCUCACCCUGGGGGCUUGAGUGCCAACUUUGCUGACAUGGCAAAUUUGCCCUAUUUAACUCAGAGGCGCGAAGAACUUUGGAUCUUUGGCUGCCCAUACACGAUUUCUCUCAAUAGGAGCUCUUGGAGGCGGGCUAGGAGCUGUGGGAACAAUCUUUCUUCAUCCUUGGGUCUUCUUCCCUCUUCCAUUUCCACCAUUGUUGUAAGCUUGAGCUCUCCAUUCAUGGAGAGCUAGUUUCAUUGUUGUUGAGGGAUUGAUGUAGCCAUUAAACUAUUAUGUAAACUAGUAUGUUUUGAAUGAAUAUAUGUCUCUUUCAUUGAUUGUUAGUGUUUAAUUUCUUCUCUUAAUGCUUGUUGUGAAGCUGCUACCCAUGACAUGAUUUUAGGGUUUGCUUGAUAUUGGGAAAUGUUGGGUAAAUCUGGACUUGAAUUAAACACCUAAAGGAAAUAGUAUCUAGGGAUAGAACUAGGACCUUUAGUUGUCUUAAAUCUCAAAUCUUAAUGCAGAAAUACUUGUUAGGUUUUCCAAGGGAUUUGAGUCUAAUGAGGAAGUCUAGGCUCUCUCUACCAAGGGAUUGGGGUUUGAGUAAAUUAGUAGAUUGACAUUGACAUAUUAAUGAAGAGAAAGUGAUUUUUUAUACAUAAGAGUGAAGUAGGUGAAAUCAUACCCCCAACAAUACCAUUCCAUAUCAUUUCUAAUCUUUCCAUUUCGAAGUAUUUGAGUACCUAAGAUCACUUUUAUCAUUUAUGUUUCAUGUUCAUUUUAAUUGCACAAAAAACCCAAAUUAUGGAAGAAUUCUUUAGUUUAGGUUAGUUAGAAAUUAUACGAUUGUCUAGUGAAACGAGUCUCUUGGGAAGCGAUAUCCAGUCUUACUGGUUUUAUUACUUGAAACAAUUUGGUACACUUGUCAAAGUCUCAACAAUCGUUUAGUCUUUUAUUGUAACUCGAGUAUUGGAUGUGUCUACUUGAUAGUUUAUGUUGAUGACAUCGUUCUUACAAGCAUUGAAAAUCAUGACAUCUCUCAUAUGAAACAUCUUUGUCACCAUUUUCAAACCAAAGAUCUUGACUAACUCAGAUAUUUCAUGCGUAUUAAGGUUGCACAAUCCAACGAUGAUAUUCUUAUAUCUCAAAGGAAGUAUGCAUUGGAUAUUUUAGAAGAAACUUGGUUGAUGAAUUCAAAAUCUAUUGACACAUCAUAGAGCAUAAUACCAAACUCCUACCAAAUCAAAGGGAGCUUAUGUAACACCUCGAUCUGGGAGUCAUUGUUUAUUCGUAAAACACUCAUUUACUUUUCAAAAUUUUGAAAUUUCAAUUUCUUUGAUAAAAACUAUCUUUAAUACAUCAUAAAUAUUGAAAAUCGAGUACACAGCUUAAAAUAAUAUUGAUUUAAAAUUACAAUCCUUAAGAAAAUUUCCAAAUAUUUUUCCUAGAAUAUAUCUCAUUUCUAUGCAUGUUCAACUUCUUCUACAACAUCAUUUACUCCCAUAUAACAACACGAGUAAUACAAUCAUCGUACAAACACAGAUACAAACAAGAAAUGGUGAACUAACUAGAAACACAAAAGAGCAUACAACAGAAAACACUCACGCACACUGCUAAAUCAUUCAUUUCAACAUACAUCAUCAAAUUUCAUAUACAUGACCACACAAUUGCCCUCAAUUUAAUUUCGUUGUUAUGUCUUUAAUUUCCCCAUAUCAUGUCGUUACUUUGGCCUCUCCUAGAGUCACUCUAUUUAAGCCCAAAGCCUUACUAGGAAAACCAGCAACAAUCAUGACUUUACAGUUACAACAUUACAACCAUAACAAACAAAAAGCCUCUACCUCAACAGAUCAUAACUCAAUCAUACUCAUUCUUGAUUUAACGUCUAGCACCAACCUAAAUCAUCAAACUUAUCAAUGAUUCACAACUCGUUCAAUACACAUACUCAUCAUAUAGAUAUAUCCAUCACAUUCACAUCAUACCCAAUCAUGAUUCCAACAAUCAACAUGAUAACACAUCAUAUAGAAUCAUUCCUUAAUAACAACUGAAAAGACAUAUCUCAUUAUCCUAUUGCUAAUCACAACAACAUCCAUACACAUAGUUUUACACAUGCAUAUCUCAUCUCUAGUCAUUUCCAUGUUAAUCCAAGAUAACCAUCUAAAUAACACACAAGUAUUCUCAAAUAGUCCAUUUUUAUUAAAACAUUCAUCUUACCAAAGAUUAUUAACAUUGGUUAUGCCAAGCGUUCAGUAGGAAACACUAAAGGUUGACAUCGUUUCCAACACCACAAUAGAUACAUCACUUACUAAAAAAAAUGAGCAACUUUUCAUUUCAAAAUUAAAAUUCAAUAAAUAACAUACCAACAAGGAUAAAUUAGUACCUCACUUACAUAUCUUCAAUUCAUGGACCAAGCAAUAUCAAUCUAACAUUUAUCAUAUCACAAAAAUGUUUAUUUAACAUUAGUACUUUGACAAAGAAAAUUACUCAUCACAUGAACACACCAAAUCCACGACUCUCACAUGUAAUUACUCAAUCAUUCAAUUGUUCAAAACACAUUUAUAUUCAACAUUUGCAACAUCAAUUGAAUCUCAUUCCUUCUCAAGCUUCUCAUGCAAACAUUAUAAUGACUUCAUUCAUAUUCAUACUCAUAAUUGUCUAGGCAUAUAUAAAUAACCAUUCAGUUUAGCAAAAAUGAACGCUCAUACACAUUAUAUAAUUAAAAUUUCUAAGCGCUCGAGAAUAUGUUUAAAUCCAUUAAUAACCCAAAUCCUCACUUUUCAAGUCUCUUAUAAUAUACAUAAAUUGUGGACCAAAGACUUGACUUACUUACCCAAUAAGUGGCAACAAAAGUAACGUUAUUAAUCAUCAAUUUAAUUUAUCUAUUUAUUUCCUAUUUGAAACUCAUCUUGUAUGACCAUUACGCUGGCAAGCUUCUACACAUUACCAUAAUUUUUUUUUUUUUAUUUAUCAUAACAUAAUAUUUCCCUAAACUUAUUUUUAUACACUAAAGCACCAAAAAUUGCUACACAAAUAAGUGAAUAUUUCUAUUUAAAAUAUACACCAAAAACACCAUAUAACAAUCUUUCAAAAACAAAACAAUAAGUCAUAAUACAAGUAUUUAUAUUGUAAAAUCUGCACCAAAAAUAACAUGUAACAAUUAUUUUUUUGAACAAAAACAACAAGCUAAAUACCACAACCAACAUCACAUUUAAUUAUAAAUAAAGACAACAUGUACUCUUUAUUUUCUUGAAAAGAUAUAAUUGAAAGCUUGUUGAGUAGACUUCCAAGAAAGAGAGGUGUGUCUUAAUGGACAACUUAAGUACAUUGUCUUUCCUUAGCCAAAGUGUUUGCCAACAAGUUUCACAAAUCUCACAUCCAUUUACACACAUCAUGUUUCUAACAAAACUUAAUAACUUACACUUUAAAACACUCCAUAUAUCAUCACUAUAUUGGCCAACAGUCAAUAAAAUUUCAUACUUAACAAAACAAUUGCUCAAGAGGUAUAUUUUCCAAACAACAACCAACAUUCGUGUCCAACCAAUAGGCUCAUAUCAUCAUCUUCCACAAAAAAAAAAAAAAAGAUACAUGGUUUAGCUCCCCUUACCUCUUGAUGAACUACUUUGAUCCUUUUUCUACGAAAUCUGAGCAACACCUCCCUUCUCUACCCUUCAAAACCUUCUACACUCAUAAAGACAACCCCUCUUUACAAACAACUUUAUUUCCAACUCAAUUUAAACACCCUUUCAAAAGUUCUUCCAACCUUUUCUACAACUCAGAUCCUAGCCCUCAAUUCUCAUUAUUUGCUAUUGAAUUCUUUUUCUCUAUUCACAAAUUUCACUCCAAUGAUGAAAAGCUUCAUUUCCUCACCCUUAUUUAUAGUUGAAGUUAGGGUUACUGUAGCAGUAUUGUAGUAGUAUAGUUGUACUACAUUGUUACUAUAGCAGUACUGUAGUUGUACUACAUUGUUAUUGUAGGAGUAUUGUAGUUCUACUACAUUUUACUGUAGCAACACACUUUUCACGAGAUAUUUUCACUAUAGCACCAUACAUAUUUUACAAUAGCAUUAUAUGUAUUUUACCGUAGCAUUAUACGUAUUUUACUAUAGCAUUAUAUUGUAGCAUUAUACAAAAUUUGCGUAUUUUUUUAAAAAAUAUAACAUCUCAAAUGCAACUAUUUUCAAGGGUCUUACAGGUUAUGUCAAAUUUUAGCAAUAUAGAAGAUGAAGUUGGAAAAUUGAAUUAUCUUAUAGUUACUCGUCUUGACAUUUCCUUUACAGUUAGUGUAGUAAACCAAUUUCUUAAUUCCCCAUGUGAAGAUCAUUGGAAUGCAAUCAUCCGUAUAUUAAAGUACAUUAAAGGAUUUUUUGGAAGAGGAUUGUUAUAUGGUUCCAAUAAUCAUACAUGAGUUAUUUAUUAUUCAAAUGGUAAUUGGGUAAAAUCUCCAUCUGAUAACAUAUCUACUUCUAAAUAUUGUGUCUCCAUUUGAGGUAACUUGAUUUAUUGGAGAAGAAAGAAACAAAGUGUUGUGGCAAGAUCUAAUACAGAAGCAUAAUACAAAGUUGUGACCUCAACCACCUAUGAACUUGUUUGGUUUAAGCAAUUGAUUAUAAAGUUAUAAUUUGAAGAUAUCACUUAAAUGACACUUUUAUGUGACAAUCAAGUUGCUCUUCAUAUUAUUUAUAACUUUGUAUUUCAUGAUAGGAUCAAACACAUUGAGAUUGAUUGUCAUUUCAUUUGAGAAAAAAUUGUAUAUGAAAAUAUCAAGAUUGUGCUUGUUAACUCAAGUGACUAGUUAGCAAAUACUUUUACUAAACCUUUACGAAGAUUGAGAAUUAAUUUUGUAACAAGGUCGAUACAUACAAUUUAUAUGCAUUUGUUUGAUAAGGAAUGUUAAAUAACUUAUAUUUAUCUUUUAUAUUCAAUUAUUUAUCUUUUGUUAUUAUUUUUUAAUUUGUAUUUUGGAUUUAAUUCAUAUUUCCUUCUUUAUAAUGUUUAUUUAUUUUUAUAUAAGGGAGAUUAAUUUCAUAUAUAAUUUUUCACUAUAUUCAAUGAUUUUUAAGACAUACAUUUAAUUUAUUUUUAAUAUUUCUAUAUUUUGCUUGUUUUUAUCUAGUAGAAUAUUGUUUUUAUGUUUUUUAUAUCAUUAUUUCUAUUUUCUAAUUCAUCAUUAUAAACGUGAUUCUAUCACUAUACAUGUAUAAAAAAAUCAUUUUACUAUAAUAUAAUAAUUUAAUGUUAUUGUCAUGAAUCUUAUUUAUCAUUUUUCAACAUAUGUCAAAGUUGAAAAAAAAAUGAAAGAUUUAGGUUAAAUUUAAAUUAUUAUUAAUUUAAUAUUUUUAGAUAAAGAAAUCUAAUUAUAAUUUAAAGUGCAAGAGUAAUAAUAUUUAAAAUAUUUUUAUAUUUAAUUAUCUAUUUGUUUUAGUACUAUUUUUAAAAUAUUGCCAAAAUUUAUUUCAUUAACUUUGCAAAUUUAAUAAAUGUUUUGGUCUUAUGGAAUUUUAUUUGAUAAUUUAAUUUGAAAUGUAUAUCGUUAUAAUUUACUUUUAUAUGUUUGAUAUUGAAGAACGAUAUGUUUAAUAUUUGAUAAUAUUAUGUUUUUUUUUGUAAGAUAUUUUUUAUUUUAUAAAAAUUAUUCAUAUUAAAGAAUGAUAUUAAAUAUUUAAUAAUAUUAUGAUUCUAUUUUGUAAGAUAUUUUUUAUUUUUAUACAUCAUUGUGAUAUUAAACAUUUGAUAAUAUUAUGUUCUUUUUUAAGAUAUUUUUUUAUUUUAUAAAAAUUAUUUAUAUUAAAAUAUAAAGAAAAUAGGUAUGAGUACAAAUACAGAUAUUUGUUAAUAGGUGAGGAAGAGGAUGAAACACAAAUUUCAUACUAGUUGAACUUAGGUGUGAGAUAAAGAAAUUCAUCUUGGUCUUACCCAUUGUCAUCUUUAAUGACAUCUAUCAAAUCAUUCACAAAAUUUCUUAAAUUAUUCUUUCAAAUCUUUACUUACCCAUUUCUAUCAUUUAAAACAAAUAGCAUGACAAUCUCCUCUCUUUCUCUUUAUAUACGUUCACUUAUUGUCUCAUAGAUGUAUCAUUUAAACAAAGUGUAUAAAUCGAUUAUAACAUCAGAAUGAAUAACUUAUAUAUCCCAAAAUUGAAACUUAUCUUUAGUAUUAAUUGGGCAAGACAAAUAAAAAAAAUUGUGUUUUAAAAAAUAAUAUAAGAUGAGAACACUUGACACAUACUAUUUCUUUUAUAAAAUUUAUUUUGUUUAAGAAAAUUGAGAGGCGAGAUAUUUAUGAUAAAAAUCACUUUAACGGUCAUAGUUAGUUGUUUUAUUUAUUGACAAAUUCAAAUAUUUUUUAUUAAGUCAAGGAGUAUUAUAAUUUCAUUUGGAUAUUUGAUAUCACUAUUUACUUACUAUGAGUAUUUAUGACACCUUUGAUUUGUUGUUACUUGGACUGGGUAAUCUGAAUUAUACUGAAUUAUAUUGAUAAAACCUGUACAUAACCAAAAACUACUUCUUUUGAACUGAAAUAAACUAAAAAAUAGUUUAGACGGACCAAACUAUUUUUUAUCUUAUUAAGUUUUCCUGCAUUCUUUACUUCAUAUUCUCAUUCAAAGCCCUUUGUCGUUGCUUGCCAAUUGAACUCAAAUAGAGAUAAAUGUGAAGAAAGAAGAAAGAGUGUUGGUUGUAGUACUUUCAAUGCAAAUUUGAAGCUAACAUGUCUACCCUUGUUGAUCUCAACAAAUUUGAAGCUAAAAUGAGGGGUGAAUUUGGGAUAGGAUCGGCUGCAUUUUGCUUUACAUGUCUUAGGUUGGUUUAUUUCAUUCCAUUUUAUCUUUACGGAUUCAUAAAUAACACUUUCGGACUAAGUUUUAGACAAAAACAAAACUGAAUUGUCUUCGUAGAUUGUUUUGCAGGAAAACAGUCCAUGUGAAUGAAAAUUUCAGGUAAUUUUUUAUUUCAAUUGGCCAUGCGUUAUAAAAAAAUUAGAAAUGAACAUGAUGCAAUUUCGUGGUUGACAGAGGAUGCAAUGGACAAAAUCAGUGUUAAUAACACAAACAGUUCAUACAGACCUGCAUUAAAAUGAUGUAAAGUUCAUUUUUUUUAAUUGAAUUAAAAAAUAGUUUAAUUAGUUUUUUUUAAGUAUAAUAUAAUACAUAUAACUGUAGUUUAGUAUAAUUUAUUAAAUUAUGUCAACCUUAGUUGUUACAAGUUAUACAUUUCAUAUUACUAAAAGAAAUGUACAGACUUAUUAUUACUGUUAUAAAUAUUAUUAUUAUCACAUAUGUCCAUGUCAUUGUUAUGAAGCAAUUAAACAAAAAUAUUACUAAACAUUACGUUAAUUUGUUUUACUUAUUAAAGAAAUUCAAAGUACAAUGUUAUUUUUUGUCUAUAAUUCAACCAUGCAUUUGAAAACUCAGUGUAAACAAUAGUGUAAAAAUGGUCUUUAACAUCACGCAUAUAACGUCCAACCACCGAAAAUCCAACGAAAAAAUGGUCGGUAAUAUUUUUGUAAAUAAAACGUUAUUAUGGAAGUCGGUUCCUCUAGGGUCAGACGUCAAAAUCUCCUUUAGACGUCGACCCCCCCUCCCCCAAAUCAGACGUCAAAUCCUUUUUUAAACGUUGACCCUUUAGAUCAGACGUCAAAAAAGUCCAAAAAUAUCUCAUUUUAAGUGUCAAUGUUAAUUUUUUUUACGACAUAGACGUCGGGCCCCCAAAAUCAGACGUCAAAUCCUUCUUUAGACGUCGGCCUCCCAGAUCAAACGUCAAAAAGGUCCGAAAAUAUCUCAUUUUAAGCGCCAAUAUUAAUUUUUUUACGACAUAGACGUCGGGCUUCCCCAAAUCAUACGUCAAAUCCUUCUUUAGACGUUGGGCCCCCAAGACCAGACGUCAAAAAGGUCCAAAAAUAAAUGUCGGUGGAUUAGAUGUUAAAUCUUCUACCAGAAGCUGCAAAAUCAUAAUUGAAAGGUCAUUUUUGCAGACAUUAGACAUCGAACAUAAAAGGGGCUGACGUCUAAUACACAUUAGACAUCGGAUCCCCUUCCUCAAACAUCAAUAAGCUGCGAAGAUAUCCCAAAAGUAGCGCCAAAAUGAUUUUUUUUACCAACUAGGCGUUGGAUCUAGAGGGGGGCUGACGUCAAAUGCCCUUUUAAACCACAAACACUCAGAAUGUGAGCCUCACUUUCUUUCAAGUUUGAGUUUGAGUUUUUGCUUCAUUCACGUUCGCCAGUUACGUGUUUUCUCUCUCGUUUCUUUCAUCUUCUUCCUCUACUUUCUCUCGUUCGCCAUUAACGUUCAUGUAAGUUUUCUUCCACUUUGCACCAUUUAAAAUUAUUUUGCGACAAUUAUAUUACGUUUGGAACCAUUAUCUUUCAUUUGCAGCGAUUAAAAUUUGUUUUCAUUGGCUUUUGGUCUUUGGCGCAUUCUAACACAGUUGCGACAACGAUUUUUGAACUGCUAUUGUGUGCGUUUUUCUCCUCACCCUUACAGCGACACUUGUGUACUCCUUUACCUUCAUGGUGGAUAAUUUAAAAAAAAAAACCAUAAAUUGACGAAUGUUAUUCUUAUAACAAAUGUUAAUUAACAUCUGUUAUAAAUUUAUAAAUGCAACAAACGUGAAUUGACGUCUCUUCAAAGACAACAAAUGUUAAUUUAACGUCUUCUGCUAUGAAAUCGGACAUUUAACAAACGUUAAAAACCGACAUUAAAAGCUAUUUUUAUGUUUAUGAAAGUUGAUAAAUUAUAUCACAAUCGUGUAAAAGACCUAAAAUUUCACCUUAAAAAGUUUGAAACAAAAAAUCGUAUCAAGGUGUGUGACAAAUCACAAAUAAGUGUCAUGGAUUGAGAUAGUAAAUUAUGAAUUAAAACUAGAAAUAAUGCAUACAAUCAAGAGACCUACUUGAAAAAUCAAAACCUUUAAAUUUAAAGCUUUAAAUUUUUAGGUUGAAGAUAAUAUCAUUUCACAUAUACAAAGUUAUUAAAAUUUACUUUUUAUCCUUGAACUUUAUUUAUUUGUCUUUAAUUACUAAUUAUCUCCAAACUUACAGUAUUAUAUGGACAUUCGAUUUUAAUAUACAUAUAGUUAGAAAUGUAAAAUAUAUAUAAGUGGAUGCUCUUUACUUUCAAUAGUAUGACUAGUUGUAUUUUUUAUUACAUUAAUUUGAAUUUUUGUUAUUAAUUUUAAAUUAAUAUUUUUUUUGUCAUAUAUAAUAUUUCAAACAUAUCUCUGGUGUUUGUAUUUUUAAAUAAACGAUUUCAAUCUUUAAAACUUAACAUCAUAAAAUUUAUAGAAAAUGUUAGACUAAUAUAAUAUGUAAUCUUUAUAUAUAAUUAUCACAUUUAAUGAUAUUCAUUUACCAUAAAAAUUUCAUAAAAAAAUUAUAUUCGUAUAUCUUUUAACUAGUUAACUAAUUUUCAAGAUAAAAAUUUAAACUAAAAUUUGAUAGAAAAUUCAAUAAAAGUUAACACUCUAAUUUUUCUCUUACUAAAAUAUAUAAUUAACACAAAUUAAAUAAUUAAAAUAAAACUUCAUUUCUCUCUUGUUUGAAAUGUAAUAAAAAACAAUUGUUAUACAAAAAUCGACUUUAUUGAAAAGGAAAAAACUAAUACUAAAAUAUUCCAAACAUCUUUUCAUAUUAAUUAUUUUUCUUAGUUUUAUGUAUCUUUCUUAGUUCCUCUAAUAUCAUAUACUUUUGUAUAUACCUAUCAUUUGAAUCUCAUUUAUCUUUUGCCCAUUCAAUAAGGAGUUUUCUGAAGCCCUAGCCCCCCAAACUCAUAAGGAGUGAGUUGAGGUCGGGUUAGGAUGAGACUGACCCUAAGUUUGAAAUUCCUUCUUUUCAUUCAACUAUUUUUCGUGAAUUCUUGCUCUUUCACGAUUCAAUCAAGUUUCUUCGUUCUCUCUCUUCCACGAGAUCAAGGGACUCACCUCUUCUAUCAUCUUCGAGGGUGUUAACAACUAAAGAAUUGGUUGUGAUUCACCGAUGGUGCGUACUCCUUUCCCUUCUUCAAUUGUGUUCUACAUUGUUGUAAUAAUUGAUUCUUUAUUACCAUCUUUACUCGUGCAUUGAACUCGUACCCCUAUUUUAUUUUUUCUUUGAAAUUUUAUAUAUCAUUUUCUGAUUUUGUAUAUACAUUUGUACAAAUUUAAAGUUUGUAGACAUGAUUUGUCUUUGUUGUUGUAGAAGUACUUUGUCUUCUUUGCAAUUGUGUUUAUGAUUGUUGCAACUGACAAAUUAAACUUCAUAUAGGUUAUUGAUAUCUGUACAAUAAAUGUCAAUUGUAAACACAAAUUCUAUGACUAAAAUUUGCUUAUCUAAUCUUUCAAUAUACAUAUAUAUAUAUAUAUAUAACCUUGUUGUCAAAUGUUGUUACAUGAAAAAAUGGCUGAGAAAAGUGAGGUUCUUUGAUUAUGAUCGCACUAAAAACAUCAGCCAAACAUUUAGAGUCACACAUAAGCAAAAUAAAUGUGAAUUAACAUAUAAACAAUUAACUUUACAAUCACAUUUCACAAUUAAAUAAUAUAAAAGUCAUAUUAUAUCAAUAGACCAAUCUAUGAUAUCAAAAUAAUAAUGUAAUAAUUCAUGAUCUUAUACACAAGUUCAACACACAAAUGUUUCAAUGCAAGGUAUUGACUCAUACAAAACUAUUUGAUAAACUACUUUCGCAAUUGUUAUAUCUUUUCAAAGUUUUCAACCAUUCAUUCUCUAAAAUAUCACAUUCUCAAUUGUGAACUAAAAUUUCUUAUUACUCCUUAUGGAUAAAGUUCACUCCUCUGUUCUUUCUCAAAGAUACUUACAAACACCAUUCAUACAUAGAGUCACCUAUUAUUAGAAACACAUUCAAAUAUGUCAAUAGUCACUUCUUGCCCAUACAACAUUUUUCAUGCAACAUCAAUACACCACCAAAAACUCAUUGCAUAUUCACAAUUAACAAAUAAGAUAGAAAACACAAGUUAAAACAUAUUAAAAUAUUUAAAACAGUUAAAAGAGGUAGCUUGCAUUCACAUUGAUUUGUUAUUCUUACUCUAAUUCUUAAUAUUUUUGUGUUUCCUUUUAUCCUACCAACUUCUAAAUACUUCUAUAUAUAUUAUCCAAAUAUUCUAAUCAAAUAAAUUAUUUAACUUAUUUCAUCAUUUUAUUUAUACUAAAAAUUAUAAUUUAAACUUACUUCAUCAUUUUCAUUAUUUGACUUUUUUAAUUUAAUUAAAGUAAUUCAGAAUCAAAAGCAAUCUUCAAUCCAUAAAUAUUUUCAAGAAAAGUUCUCUUAAACUAAAAGGAAAGGUAAAUGUGGAUCAAAUUAUCUCAGCCAUGUUUUCUUAUUCUUGGACAAGUGAUUUAAAUUGCAAAAAAAAUUAAAAUGAUUAUUUCUGUACUUUGCAUUAUUUGUGUUUGUUCAAAAAUGGUCAUUUUGAAUUAAUUUUUUAGUCAUAUUUUAACACUGCACAAAAACUAUUUAGUGAUGAAGUUGUAUUAUUAAUUGAUUUAUCUUAAAUAUUUAAUAAUUUUCUUAACAGUAAUAAAUAAAUAAAUCGCGCUGAUCAUUUAAUAAUUCUGUAUUUUGCAUUAUUGUGUUUGUUCAAACAUGAUCAUUUUGAAUUAUUUUUUUAGUCAUAUUCUAACACUGCACAAAACUAUUUAGUGACAGAAGUUGUAUUAUUAAUUUAUUUAUCUUAAAUAUUUAAUAAUUGUCUUAAAAUUUGUUGACCACUGAAUCAUUCAGUUUGAUAAGAUACAAUCAAAUUUUCCCUUUUUUUAUUUAUUUAUCAUGCUAAUUAAUUUGUUUUAAUACUUUUACGCAGAAUACUAAUUAUAUUAAAUUAAACACUGAAUACAAAAAUAAUUACAAAAAUAAUAUAAACCAGUGAUCAUAUUAUGCAUGAUUAUUAUAUAUUAAAAAAAUGGUAUAAAAUGAUAAAAUUGUAAAAUAUUAAUUAAAUAUAAAUAUAAGUGCAUCACUGUUUUUUUUUUAUAAAUAAAAUUAAGUUAUUAUGACAAUUUAUCAAAUUUUAGUUUUAUAUGUACUGGAAGUUAGACUUUAACUAUAAUAUAAUUAAUACUACAUUUAAUAUUAAAAUUGAAUGUAAUUAUCAUAGUUAAUGCUGACAAAUUCAAAAAAACAAAACAGUGCACAUAAUAUUUAAAUUAUCAUAAUUUAUAAGAGAACAUUUUAAACAAAAUAUAUUUUUUAAUAUGAAUAGUUAGAUUUUAAAUUGGUGUGACACAAACUUAAUCAUAUUAUUAACCAAUUGUAACACCUGAAUAUUAAUAGUAGAAACUAUAAAUAUAAUAAAAAAGAAAAAAAUAAAUAAAUUUUAAAAAUAUUUUAUAUAGAACAUUUCAAAAAAAUUGUUAUAUUUAAAAAUAUAUUUUAAAAAAAAUCAUUUAAUAAUUAUAUUAUAAAAAUAAAAUGAGAACAAAAUCGUAUAGAAUUCUUUUUUUAUAUAUAAAUAUAAAUUUAUAUUUAUAUUUUUUAUUUUUUAAAAAUAACGCACAUCGUCUUAAGUAAUAGGUUAAAAUAUAAAAAAAUAACUAAUUUUAUUUUAAAAGGUAUCUUAAAACAUAUUAAACCUAUUAGCAUAUAUAUUAUUUCUUCGAUCAGUAGUAUGUAAAUUAAAAAAAUAUAGAAGAUGUAAAUAAUAUUUUUGUGUCUCUGUCAACCCUAACCCGAUAUAAUGUAGAUAUCGGGUCCCCUUAUAAAUCCGGAUCAACCCGUGAAUAAACAAAUAAAACAUAAUAUUAUAUAUAUAUAUAUAUAUAUAUAUAUAUAUAUAUAUAUAUAUAUAUAUAUAUAUAUAUAUAAUUUUCUUUCCCUUUUCCUGAGAAAAUGAGGCACUAUCUUUGGAAGCCGCAGCACACAAGCUUUUUUUGAGGUUGCUUCUCUUCCGCCGCACCCCUGUUCACCGUCUCCGAGGUUGCAGGGUUUCACGGCUCCAAUGGCGGCUUUCCACCACUUCGGGAACAUGAACGAAGUCGCAUUCAAGCCCCGCCUGCUUCUCUCACUCAUAAGAGACCAUCUUCCCGACGAGAAAAGUUCCUUCUCCGACCCCUCUAAACUCUCCAAGGCCGUGUCACUUUUAAAAACCCACUCUCUUCUCUCCGAGUCUUUUCUCGCAGACUCCACCUCCACCAAAGUAAUCGAAGCCUGGAAAUCCGCAUUCUCUUCAUGGCUCAACCGCAUAUUCUCCCUCCUCUCCACCUCCAUGGUGUGAAUCAAAAGCAGCAAGCUUUUAAAUUUUCUUCAUUUUUUCCUUUCUUGUUUUGAAUGAUUUUUGUAGUUGAGAUGGAUGUGUUGUUCUUUUCUAGCCUGAUAAAUGCUGGGCGGGGAUCACUCUGCUCGGGGUGACAUGUGAAGAGUGCAGCUCUGAGCGUUUUCUGGAAUCUUACUCUGCGUGGUUCAACAAGUUGCUGGCUUUUCUACAGGUACAGAGAUGUUUUGCCUUUCAUGCUGAUGAUUAUUUUGUCAGACUUUGGGUUUAGGAAUACAAAGUGCUGUUCACUGCAGACAUACAGUUGCAUAGGGUAGUCUUGUUUGGAUGAACAUUUACAUAAGUCUAGGAAAAAAAAGUAAGGCUUUGGGAAAUAAAUUUCUUCAUUAGUCAAAAUUAACAUAUGUAUUAGUUUAAAGUAAUCUUUUAGAGAAGUUGGAAUGAGAGAAUUUCUAUAAAUUAAUGUAUGCAUAAACUAUUUUUAGUUUAUAGAGAAACUCAUUUAAUUUUUUCUUAUUCAUCUUCUUUUUCUUUGUGUUUCCGGAGAACUUUAUCCACAUUGAUCGUAGAUGAAUUUAGACUUCAGUAAAGCUCACAUGUGACUAGUACAUUGGUUGUUUUGAGCAUAUGAUACGGGUUUGAUCUCUUAUCCGUGGUCUCACAGUGAGAAUAUCUCUGGUCCAGUUCUGGAUCUAAAACAUAAUGAUUCUUUUUAACUGUAAUGUUUGGUAUGCUAUCCUGCACAUAUUUUAGCCUACAAGCCAAUGCUGGGACUUGAAAGAGAAGUUAAUGCAUUUGAUACCGAGUAAAUCUAAUGUGCUUGUACUACUCACCUUUACAGAUUUCAGGCAUCCUUCCUGUAAAUUGUAAAUGGGCAGUCCAUCUUUUACUGAUGUCUUUUGGAAUUAGAAAAUGUGCUUGUUCCUUCUGUAUGUCAUUAAAGAGCUCACAAAGCUUCCUUUCUUGUAUUCGAUGAGGGUGCCAUCUUUUUCUACAUGAUAUGUUACUGAUUAACACUAUACAUCAUUUAUGUGAUACUGUCUUUUUUCUUUGACUUUCUUUUGAAUCUUUUAAAGGACGAGCACACUCAAACAAGAUGUCCAUGUUUCCAUUCAUCUUUGUAUAAAUCUCUGAAAUGAAUUUUGUAUUUUUGUAUGGUCAAUUGUGAUUAGCUCCUUGAUCUUUGUUUGAAACAGUCACCAGCAGAUUCACAUCUAGUGAAGGUAGCGGCUUGUGCUUCAUUGUCUGAUAUAUUUAUAAGGUUAGAUAUUUCUUUUCCUACCUUGAGACUAUUAGUUAGUACAACUAUUGGUCUGUAAUGUAGAGUGCUCAUGCUUGAUGCAUCUGAUUAAUCUCUCUCUCUUUGUGCAUGCUACUGCAUGGUUGUCACCUAGUCAGCAAUAAUUUUUUAUUUCUCUUUAUGCAUAAUACUCAAUAGGAGGAGGUCAAGGUUGUUGGACUUGAGUCUGCAUAAACUUGUCAAACAAACCUGCAAGAGUUUACUUGAUAAAAAAACAGUAUUAAAAUGUUUUUUGCAGUAUCUAAAUUAAAUGAAUACCAUAAAUUAAUAAAAAGAAAUUCCAUGCCCCAAGUUUCAAUUUAUUACGAGUCUUAUUUUUAGGGCAUUCCUCCUUGUUUUGAAAAUGAGCCUAGCAACUGUAUUGCUUGAGCACCUCGACCACCCUCUAAUGUGAGAUAUCUUUUGGACUACAAACCAAACAAAUUGGGGAUAUCAAUUACACAAUCCACUCUUUAACAGUGAUCUCAGUUCUCAACUAAUACUGCAAGAUCAGAAAGAAAAAAGAAACAGAGACACCUUUUUCACAAUUUAGGCUUCAUAAUGGCAGUCAACCAACUAGAUGGAGGCCAGUAGUAGUUGCGCAAGUUCGAGUGUGUUAGUGAGGUGACUUGAGAUUAAAACCAGAGAAAUAUAAUUUUAGAGGACUUAAUAGACCCUUCUCAUGUUCUACUAUAUAUAUAUUGAUAAGGAGUUAAUAUAGUAGGGAGAUGGAAGAUCAAGAGACUAUCUUAGACUGCAAGGUACCAUAAGUAGAGAUAACCCACACACUACUCCCUACUUUAGUGCUUUCGACUUCACUAGCAUAAAUAGACUUAAUAAUUAUUCCAACACUCCUCCUCAAACUGGAGCAUACAGAUUAUAAGUACCAAGCUUGGAACAAAUAAACCCAAUCUGAGGUCCCCUUAAGGACUUGGCCAACACAUUUGUGAGUUGGUCAUUUAAUCAAACAAACUUUGUACAUAUUUCUCUUGUUAACAACUUUUCACGAACAAAACGACAAUCAAUUUCUAUAUGUUUAGUUCUCUCGUGAAACACUGGAUUUGUUGUAAAUGAAAAGCAGCUUAAUUAUCGCACACAUCUUCAUAGGCUGGAUGUCACAGAAGUUAAGUUCUUGAAGGAACUGCUUCAUCCAUAUAAGUUCACACGUUAGUGACACCAUUGCCCUAUAUUUAGCUUUAGCUAUUGAUCGGGAAACUACACAAUAUCCAGUAGUAGAUUGUUUGUCAAUAGGCGAACCUAUCCAAUUCGCAUCACAGUACCUGGAGACCUGAAUGCCUCCUCUAUCUUCAUAUAACAACCCUUGCUUGGGAGCCUUUUUGAGGUACCUUAGAAUGCGAAUGAUAGCAUUACAGUGGCGAAUAUAUGGAACCUGCAUGAGCUAACUAACCACUUCAAUUGCACAAGAUAAAUCAGGCCUUGUAAGAGUGAGAUAAAUCAGUUUUCCAACUAGCCUCCUAUAUCUCUCCGGAUCAGAAAAUAAUUCACCUUCUUUUGUCAAUAAUUUCUGAUUUGGGUCUAUAGGACUAUCUACUUAUCUACAAUCAAUCAUACCUUUUUCUUGUAAUAUAUCAAGAUCAUACUUCAUUUUGAGAGAUUACAACUCCAUCUUUUGACUGAGCUACAUCAAUGCCCAAUAAGUAUUUAAGGCUUUCAAGAUCCUUGAUUUGAAAAUUUCUACACAAGUACUCCUUCAGUUGAGAUAUUCUAGUAGUAUCAUCAACAUAUGCUAUUAAGUAAACAUAUUUCCCGAGAGAUGUAUGACAGUAAAAGACUGAAUGAUCUGCUUCAUUGCGUCUUAGCUCAAAUUUUUGAACAAUGGAGUUGAAUUUUCUAAACCAAGCACGUGGUGAUUGCUUCAGGCAAUAUAGAGUGCGAUGCAAUUUGCAUACUGUACUAGACUUCCCUUGAGCAACAAACCUAGGAGGUUGCUCCAUAUAAGUUUCUUCCUCAAGAUCAUCAUGGAGGAAGACAUUUAUGAUAUCCAAUUGAUGAAGUGACUAGUGACAAAUUGCUAACAUUGCAAAGAAAAGACCAAUAGUAGUCAUCUUGGCCAUUAGAGAGAAAGUGUCACAAUAAUCAAAGUCAUAAACCUGAGUGUACCCUUUUUGCAACUAAUUGGGCUUUGAGCCGAUAAACUUCACCAUCGAGGCCAACUUGAAUUGCAUAUACUCAUUGACAACCAACUGCCUUUUUGCCUGGUGGAAAGGCGAUGAGCUCCCAAGUAUUAUUGUGGUCAAGAGUUUGCAUUUCUGCAAUCAUGGCUUGUUGCCAUCUAGGAGGAUCAAGUGUUUCAUUCACAUGUUUUGGGUAUAACCAUAGAAGACACUAAGGAUACAAGAGAACAAUAGGAAGGCGAUAGCUAAGAAAAUUAUAAACAGGAUUUGGGUUUCGAGUGGAACGAGUACCUUUUCUGAGAGCAAAAUGGGUCAACUUGAAUCAUCUUCACUAGGAGUCGUGGUAUUAAGUGACAAGGGAUAAGAAUCUAAAGUAGGGAAUUCACCAUUUUCUUAGAGUUGGCGGAUAUCAAUAUGUGGAGAUGAUGGUUCAGGAGGACUUUGAUCAAUACUUGAAUUGACAAAGAUAUGAGAAAUAUUGGAGUCAACCACUAGAAUAGGAAGGACCUGCUGUAUGACAUGAACAUCUUGAACUGAGGGAGAGAAGUAAUGAGUCUAUUCAAAGAAUGUAAUAUUGGCAGACAUGUAGUACUUCUUGGUUUCAAGAGAAUAACACUGAUACCCUUUUUGAAGUCGUGAAUAGCCUAAGAAGAUACGUUUGAUAGCACGAGCAAAAAACUUGUCUAACCCUCGAGACAUGUUACGAACAAAACAUACACAAUCAAAAACUCGAGGAGAAGUGUGAAAGAGAGAAUUAUUUGGAAAUAGAAUGGAGAAAGGAACCUUAUGAUUGAGAGAGGAGGAGGACAUCCUCUUAACGAGAAAACAU